GGUAGUAUAGCUCAGUGGUAGAGCGUUCGACUGGAAAUCGAGAGGUCCCCGGUUCGAAUCCGUGUGUUUUCA
RNAcentral lists this transfer RNA (72 nucleotides) under Diabrotica virgifera virgifera (western corn rootworm). Its description in RNAcentral is "transfer RNA serine (anticodon GGA)". It matches the Rfam family "tRNA". From Rfam's summary of the family: Transfer RNA (tRNA) molecules are approximately 80 nucleotides in length. Their secondary structure includes four short double-helical elements and three loops (D, anti-codon, and T loops). Further hydrogen bonds mediate the characteristic L-shaped molecular structure. tRNAs have two regions of fundamental functional importance: the anti-codon, which is responsible for specific mRNA codon recognition, and the 3' end, to which the tRNAs corresponding amino acid is attached (by aminoacyl-tRNA synthetases). tRNAs cope with the degeneracy of the genetic code in two manners: having more than one tRNA (with a specific anti-codon) for a particular amino acid; and 'wobble' base-pairing, i.e. permitting non-standard base-pairing at the 3rd anti-codon position. The record is from RNAcentral. Lineage: Eukaryota; Metazoa; Arthropoda; Insecta; Coleoptera; Chrysomelidae.